GGUUUGUUACCCAGCGGGUCUUGAUCCACAUAAAACAUUUUGCCCCUUUUAUGACAUAUUGUGCAUAUAAAUAUUUCUCGCGUGGUUAAAUAUCUUUUGUUCUUCUUGUUGUGCUCCCUUCCUCCCUCUCUCUCCCUUUUUGUGUGUUUAUGCUUCCCCUCUACUCUCUCAUGGUAUGCUUAAUUAUUGUAGAAGAUUUAAUGAUUAAUGUUUUUGAAAAUUUGAAUUCUUGCUAAGAAAUGGUUAAUAACUCAUUGUGCAUGUAUCCAUGGAUAUUGUUGGAUUCCAUUCUGUUUCAAAUUA
RNAcentral lists this unclassified non-coding RNA (303 nucleotides) under Hevea brasiliensis (rubber tree). The record is from RNAcentral. Lineage: Eukaryota; Viridiplantae; Streptophyta; Magnoliopsida; Malpighiales; Euphorbiaceae.